GACGAACGCUGGCGGCGUGCUUAACACAUGCAAGUCGAACGGAAAGGCCCUGCUUUUGUUGGGUGCUCGAGGGGCGAACGGGUGAGUAACACGUGAGUAACCUGCCCUUGACUUUGGGAUAACUUCAGGAAACUGGGGCUAAUACCGGAUAGGAGCUCCGGCUGCAUGGGGGGGGUUGGAAAGUUUAGGCGGUUGGGGAUGGACUCGCGGCUUAUCAGCUUGUUGGUGGGGUAGUGGCUUACCAAGGCUUUGACGGGUAGCCGGCCUGAGAGGGUGACCAGCCACCUUGGGACUGCGAUACGGCCCAGACUCCUACGGUAGGCAGCAGUGGGGAAUCUUGCACAAUGGGCGGAAGCCUGAUGCAGCAACGCCGCGUGCGGGAUGACGGCCUUCGGGUUGUGAACCGCUUUCGCCUGUGACGAAGCGUGAGUGACGGUAAUGGGUAAAGAAGCACCGGCUAACUACGUG
RNAcentral lists this ribosomal RNA (468 nucleotides) under uncultured bacterium. Its description in RNAcentral is "partial 16S ribosomal RNA". It matches the Rfam family "Bacterial small subunit ribosomal RNA", at positions 28 to 507 of the family's 1533-position model. The record is from RNAcentral.